AGAGUUUGAUCCUGGCUCAGGAUGAACGCUAGCGAUAGGCCUAACACAUGCAAGUCGAGGGGCAGCACAUGAAGUAGCAAUACGGAUGGUGGCGACCGGCGCACGGGUGAGUAACGCGUAUGCAACCUGCCUACAACAGGGGAAUAACCCGUUGAAAGACGGACUAAUACCCCAUAACACAGGGAUCCCGCAUGGGAAUAUUUGUUAAAGAUUUAUCGGUUGUAGAUGGGCAUGCGUUCCAUUAGCUUGUUGGUGAGGUAACGGCUCACCAAGGCAACGAUGGAUAGGGGAACUGAGAGGUUUAUCCCCCACACUGGUACUGAGACACGGACCAGACUCCUACGGGAGGCAGCAGUGAGGAAUAUUGGUCAAUGGACGCAAGUCUGAACCAGCCACGUCGCGUGAAGGAAGACGGCCCUACGGGUUGUAAACUUCUUUUGUAAGGGAAUAAAGUGUAGUACGUGUACUAUUUUGCAUGUACCUUACGAAUAAGGAUCGGCUAACUCCGUGCCAGCAGCCGCGGUAAUACGGAGGAUCCGAGCGUUAUCCGGAUUUAUUGGGUUUAAAGGGUGCGCAGGCGGGAGAUUAAGUCGGCGGUGAAACUUUGCAGCUCAACUGUAAAAGUGCCUUCGAAACUGGUUUCCUUGAGUGUGGAUGAAGUAGGCGGAAUUUGUGGUGUAGCGGUGAAAUGCAUAGAUAUCACGAGGAACUCCGAUUGCGCAGGCAGCUUACUAAACCAUAACUGACGCUCAGGCACGAAGGCGUGGGGAUCAAACAGGAUUAGAUACCCUGGUAGUC
Molecule: ribosomal RNA, 798 nt
Filed under: uncultured Proteiniphilum sp.
Lineage: Bacteria; Pseudomonadati; Bacteroidota; Bacteroidia; Bacteroidales; Dysgonomonadaceae
Description: bacterial SSU rRNA
Rfam family: Bacterial small subunit ribosomal RNA
Source: RNAcentral